RNAcentral lists this ribosomal RNA (552 nucleotides) under uncultured fungus. RNAcentral's name for it is "eukaryotic LSU rRNA". The stretch from base 201 to 354 matches the Rfam family "5.8S ribosomal RNA". The record is from RNAcentral. Lineage: Eukaryota; Fungi.
GGUCUCCGUAGGUGAACCUGCGGAGGGAUCAUUACACAAAUAUGAAGGCGGGCUGGAACCUCUCGGGGUUACAGCCUUGCUGAAUUAUUCACCCUUGUCUUUUGCGUACUUCUUGUUUCCUUGGUGGGUUCGCCCACCACUAGGACAAACAUUAAACCUUUUGUAAUUGCAAUCAGCGUCAGUAACAAAUUAAUAAUUACAACUUUCAACAACGGAUCUCUUGGUUCUGGCAUCGAUGAAGAACGCAGCGAAAUGCGAUAAGUAGUGUGAAUUGCAGAAUUCAGUGAAUCAUCGAAUCUUUGAACGCACAUUGCGCCCUUUGGUAUUCCAAAGGGCAUGCCUGUUCGAGCGUCAUUUGUACCCUCAAGCUUUGCUUGGUGUUGGGCGUCUUGUCUCUAGCUUUGCUGGAGACUCGCCUUAAAGUAAUUGGCAGCCGGCCUACUGGUUUCGGAGCGCAGCACAAGUCGCACUCUCUAUCAGCAAAGGUCUAGCAUCCAUUAAGCCUUUUUUUCAACUUUUGACCUCGGAUCAGGUAGGGAUACCCGCUGACUA